GCGAGGUGACACGGGGUGACACGGGGUGACAUAAGGCGACACAUGGGGUGACACAGGUUGACAUGGGGUGACAGGAGGUGACAGGAGGUGACAGAUGAGGUGACACCGUGGGCUCACGUGCUCGCGCUGCAGCCGCUUGUGCUCCUCCAUCAGGGCCUCCAGCUGCUGCCAGAAAUCCUCUCUGGGGACAGGGGGCCGUGUCCCCUCAAUGUCCCCAAUGUCCCCUUGUUGUCCCCUCAAUGUCCCCUCACUGUCCCCAUUGUGUCCUCUCGUUGUUCCCUCAUUGUCCCCAUUGUGUCCCCUCAGUGUCCCCUCACCGUCCCCAUAAUGUCCCCAUUGUGUCCCCAUUGUGUCCCCACAAUGUCCCCUCAAUGUCCCCCCAAUGUCCCUUCACUGUCCCCUCAAUGUCCCCUCACUGUCCCCAUUGUGUCCCCACUGUGUCCCCAUUGUGUCCCCUCAAUGUCCCCCCAAUGUCU
RNAcentral lists this long non-coding RNA (476 nucleotides) under Phasianus colchicus (ring-necked pheasant). RNAcentral's name for it is "lncRNA (ENSPCLG00000012365.1)". The record is from RNAcentral. Lineage: Eukaryota; Metazoa; Chordata; Aves; Galliformes; Phasianidae.